RNAcentral lists this ribosomal RNA (1372 nucleotides) under uncultured bacterium. RNAcentral's name for it is "bacterial SSU rRNA". It matches the Rfam family "Bacterial small subunit ribosomal RNA", at positions 28 to 1381 of the family's 1533-position model. The record is from RNAcentral.
GAUGAACGCUGGCGGCGUGCCUAAUACAUGCAAGUCGAGCGAACGGACGAGAAGCUUGCUUCUCUGAUGUUAGCGGCGGACGGGUGAGUAACACGUGGAUAACCUACCUAUAAGACUGGGAUAACUUCGGGAAACCGGAGCUAAUACCGGAUAAUAUUUUGAACCGCAUGGUUCAAAAGUAAAAGACGGUCUUGCUGUCACUUAUAGAUGGAUCCGCGCUGCAUUAGCUAGUUGGUAAGGUAACGGCUUACCAAGGCAACGAUGCAUAGCCGACCUGAGAGGGUGAUCGGCCACACUGGAACUGAGACACGGUCCAGACUCCUACGGGAGGCAGCAGUAGGGAAUCUUCCGCAAUGGGCGAAAGCCUGACGGAGCAACGCCGCGUGAGUGAUGAAGGUCUUCGGAUCGUAAAACUCUGUUAUUAGGGAAGAAUAUAUGUGUAAGUAACUGUGCACAUCUUGACGGUACCUAAUCAGAAAGCCACGGCUAACUACGUGCCAGCAGCCGCGGUAAUACGUAGGUGGCAAGCGUUAUCCGGAAUUAUUGGGCGUAAAGCGCGCGUAGGCGGUUUUUUAAGUCUGAUGUGAAAGCCCACGGCUCAACCGUGGAGGGUCAUUGGAAACUGGAAAACUUGAGUGCAGAAGAGGAAAGUGGAAUUCCAUGUGUAGCGGUGAAAUGCGCAGAGAUAUGGAGGAACACCAGUGGCGAAGGCGACUUUCUGGUCUGUAACUGACGCUGAUGUGCGAAAGCGUGGGGAUCAAACAGGAUUAGAUACCCUGGUAGUCCACGCCGUAAACGAUGAGUGCUAAGUGUUAGGGGGUUUCCGCCCCUUAGUGCUGCAGCUAACGCAUUAAGCACUCCGCCUGGGGAGUACGACCGCAAGGUUGAAACUCAAAGGAAUUGACGGGGACCCGCACAAGCGGUGGAGCAUGUGGUUUAAUUCGAAGCAACGCGAAGAACCUUACCAAAUCUUGACAUCCUUUGACAACUCUAGAGAUAGAGCCUUCCCCCUCGGGGGACAAAGUGACAGGUGGUGCAUGGUUGUCGUCAGCUCGUGUCGUGAGAUGUUGGGUUAAGUCCCGCAACGAGCGCAACCCUUAAGCUUAGUUGCCAUCAUUAAGUUGGGCACUCUAAGUUGACUGCCGGUGACAAACCGGAGGAAGGUGGGGAUGACGUCAAAUCAUCAUGCCCCUUAUGAUUUGGGCUACACACGUGCUACAAUGGACAAUACAAAGGGCAGCGAAACCGCGAGGUCAAGCAAAUCCCAUAAAGUUGUUCUCAGUUCGGAUUGUAGUCUGCAACUCGACUACAUGAAGCUGGAAUCGCUAGUAAUCGUAGAUCAGCAUGCUACGGUGAAUACGUUCCCGGGUCU